Molecule: long non-coding RNA, 759 nt
Organism: Sander lucioperca (pikeperch)
Lineage: Eukaryota; Metazoa; Chordata; Actinopteri; Perciformes; Percidae
Exons: 2
Source: RefSeq, a predicted model, not a curated record
UUAUUGUAUGUGGAAAGCUAAUCUGAAGAGGUGUGUUUUGAUUAGUGUUUAAAUGUGUCCAGGUCAGUACAGUCACGAAUGUGUACGGGUAGGGCGUUCCAGAGGGAGGGGGCUGCAAUGGUCUUUGAAAAAACACAUACUGGUUGUUUUGCAUGUGUUUACUCUAAACCCAAGGCCAAGAAAUAAUGAUUUUUUUUUACCUAAGUUUUUGUGCAGAUUAAACAAACGAGACAUAACGUGUUAAUUAGUGAGCUGUUUGGCAGAUUACCUCAGGACCGAGCCCUGUCUCCUGAGACCAGCUUCAUAUUUAGCGUACACACACAUAAGAGUGGUAUCGAUCAAUCAAUCAAUCAAUCAAUCAAUCAACAUGACACGAAUCAACACGAAUAAAACAUAACAUACAGUAAAAUCAGAAAAGGAUACAUUAAAGCAGGAGGAAGAAUGGAAAAUGUCACAGCGUGACUAUGUAUUAAAAGCCAUUGUAAAAUUCUACGUUUAUAAUAGUGUCAAUCUGUUGGGUAACCUGUUCCAAAAGUAUCGGAGCCAAAAUCCAAAAUGCUGGGGCCAGGCCAUUGAUGGCCUUAAAAACAAAAUCUGAAACUCGGCUAGAAAGCAAAUAAGCAUAUUUAUUAUCGUUAUUUAUAUUAUUAUUAAGUUAUGAAUCCCUACAGGAUAUUGCAGUGUUACAGUAGCCAAGUCAAUCAAUAAAUCACAAAAAAUAGAUAAAUACUGGUAGGUAGGUGUGACACUAUAUACAAU